AACGGUCUAUACCUGCGGUACCUGCGGAAGGAUCAUUACUGAAGUUACCUUCUAAAACCAUCAUGUGAACCUUACCCCUGCCGCGCUGUUGCCUCGGCGGGACGCCGGAGCCCCGGCUCCGGCGCCGCCGGCAGCGCCAAACUCUACCUUGAAACAGCGGAAACGCACUCUGAUUUAGAAGCGAAAACAAGUCAAAACUUUCAACAAUGGAUCUCU
This 216-nucleotide unclassified non-coding RNA is filed under the name soil metagenome. Its description in RNAcentral is "partial contains 5.8S ribosomal RNA, internal transcribed spacer 2, and large subunit ribosomal RNA". The record is from RNAcentral.